This 460-nucleotide ribosomal RNA is filed under the name uncultured bacterium. Its description in RNAcentral is "partial 16S ribosomal RNA". It matches the Rfam family "Bacterial small subunit ribosomal RNA", at positions 338 to 795 of the family's 1533-position model. The record is from RNAcentral.
CCUACGGGAGGCAGCAGUGAGGAAUAUUGGUCAAUGGGCGGAAGCCUGAACCAGCCAAGUAGCGUGCAGGAUGACGGCCCUACGGGUUGUAAACUGCUUUUAUACGGGAAUAACGCGCCUUACGUGUAGGGCUUUGCAUGUACCGUAUGAAUAAGGACCGGCUAAUUCCGUGCCAGCAGCCGCGGUAAUACGGGGGGUGCAAGCGUUGUCCGGAAUCAUUGGGCGUAAAGAGUUCGUAGGCGGCACGUAAAGUCUGGUGUUAAAGGCAGAGGCUCAACUUCUGUACGGCACUGGAUACUUGCGAGCUAGAAUGCGGUAGAGGUAAAGGGAAUUCCUGGUGUAGCGGUGAAAUGCUUAGAUAUCAGGAGGAACAUCGGUGGCGUAAGCGCUUUACUGGGCCGUAAUUGACGCUGAGGAACGAAAGCCAGGGUAGCAAAUGGGAUUAGAUACCCGAGUAGUC